CAGCACCUCAAGUGGUCAGGAUGAUUAUUGGGCCUAAAGCAUCCGUAGCCGGCGCUGUAAGUUUUCGGUUAAAUCUGUACGCUCAACGUACAGGCUGCCGGGAAUACUGCAGCGCUAGGGAGUGGGAGAGGUAGACGGUACUCGGUAGGAAGGUGUAAAAUCCUUUGAUCUAUUGAUGACCACCUGUGGCGAAGGCGGUCUACCAGAACACGUCCGCCGGUGAGGGAUGAAAGCUGGGGGAGCAAACCGGAUUAGAUACCCGAGUAGUCC
This 270-nucleotide ribosomal RNA is filed under the name uncultured archaeon. Its description in RNAcentral is "partial 16S ribosomal RNA". It matches the Rfam family "Archaeal small subunit ribosomal RNA", at positions 477 to 747 of the family's 1478-position model. The record is from RNAcentral.